GGGAGCCUACGGGGGGCAGCAGUGAGGAAUAUUGGUCAAUGGGCGCGAGCCUGAACCAGCCAAGUAGCGUGAAGGAUGACUGCCCUACGGGUUGUAAACUUCUUUUAUAAAGGAAUAAAGUGAGGCACGUGUGCCUUUUUGUAUGUAUUUUAUGAAUAAGGAUCGGCUAACUCCGUGCCAGCAGCCGCGGUAAUACGGAGGAUCCGAGCGUUAUCCGGAUUUAUUGGGUUUAAAGGGAGCGUAGAUGGGUGGUUAAUUCAGUUGUGAAAGUUUGCGGCUCAACCGUAAAAUUGCACUUGAGACUG
RNAcentral lists this ribosomal RNA (305 nucleotides) under uncultured bacterium. RNAcentral's name for it is "bacterial SSU rRNA". It matches the Rfam family "Bacterial small subunit ribosomal RNA", at positions 333 to 635 of the family's 1533-position model. The record is from RNAcentral.